UGGGGAAUAUUGGACAAUGGGCGAAAGCCUGAUCCAGCCAUGCCGCGUGUGUGAAGAAGGUCUUCGGAUUGUAACGCACUUUAAGUUGGGAGGAAGGGCAGUAAGCGAAUACCUUGCUGUUUUGACGUUACCGACAGAAUAAGCACCGGCUAACUCUGUGCCAGCAGCCGCGGUAAUACAGAGGGUGCAAGCGUUAAUCGGAAUUACUGGGCGUAAAGCGCGCGUAGGUGGUUCGUUAAGUUGAAUGUGAAAGCCCCGGGCUCAACCUGGGAACUGCAUCCAAAACUGGCGAGCUGGAGUAGGGCAGAGGGUGGUGGAAUUUCCUGUGUAGCGGUGAAAUGCGUAGAUAUAGGAAGGAACACCAGUGGCGAAGGCGACCACCUGGGCUCAUACUGACACUGAGGUGCGAAAGCGUGGGGAGCAAACAGG
RNAcentral lists this ribosomal RNA (429 nucleotides) under Pseudomonadota bacterium. RNAcentral's name for it is "Proteobacteria bacterium partial 16S ribosomal RNA". It matches the Rfam family "Bacterial small subunit ribosomal RNA", at positions 355 to 776 of the family's 1533-position model. The record is from RNAcentral. Lineage: Bacteria; Pseudomonadati; Pseudomonadota.